RNAcentral lists this non-coding RNA (29 nucleotides) under Mus musculus (house mouse). The record is from RNAcentral. Lineage: Eukaryota; Metazoa; Chordata; Mammalia; Rodentia; Muridae.
UAGGAUGGUGUAGUGAACAAGGUCAAGGU